GAUGAACGCUGGCGGCGUGCCUAAUACAUGCAAGUCGAGCGAACAGACGAGGAGCUUGCUCCUCUGACGUUAGCGGCGGACGGGUGAGUAACACGUGGAUAACCUACCUAUAAGACUGGGAUAACUUCGGGAAACCGGAGCUAAUACCGGAUAAUAUAUUGAACCGCAUGGUUCAAUAGUGAAAGACGGUUUUGCUGUCACUUAUAGAUGGAUCCGCGCCGCAUUAGCUUGUUGGUAAGGUAACGGCUUACCAAGGCAACGAUGCGUAGCCGACCUGAGAGGGUGAUCGACCACACUGGAACUGAGACACGGUCCAGACUCCUACGGGAGGCAGCAGUAGGGAAUCUUCCGCAAUGGGCGAAAGCUUGACGGAGCAACGCCGCGUGAGUGAUGAAGGUCUUCGGAUCGUAAAACUCUGUUAUUAGGGAAGAACAAAUGUGUAAGUAACUAUGCACGUCUUGACGGUACCUAAUCAGAAAGCCACGGCUAACUACGUG
This 497-nucleotide ribosomal RNA is filed under the name uncultured bacterium. RNAcentral describes it as "partial 16S ribosomal RNA". It matches the Rfam family "Bacterial small subunit ribosomal RNA", at positions 28 to 507 of the family's 1533-position model. The record is from RNAcentral.